This 345-nucleotide long non-coding RNA is filed under the name Brassica napus (rape). Its description in RNAcentral is "long non-coding RNA (BNAP_LNC023986)". The record is from RNAcentral. Lineage: Eukaryota; Viridiplantae; Streptophyta; Magnoliopsida; Brassicales; Brassicaceae.
UGAAGGAGACGUUUUAUUAGAUCCAAGAGCUAGAACUUCAAUAGAUUGGAGUAUAAACCCUAGUUCUAGCCUCCGAGCUCUCUUCUCUAAGUCUUGAAGUGUCGAUCCCUUGCUCUAGAGUUUAGGUUCCCUUUAUAUAGUUGUCGUGAGGUGGGCCUUAGUCAGUUUGAGCGAGUUGAACUCUUCCAUAUUCGGAAAUAUGCAAGGUUCUCCUUAUCGGAAGUUUUCCUUUUCCCGGAGGAAGGGUGUGGUCCCUGGGACCGGACCCGUAAUAUUUCUUGGCGGGGACCCGGGGCAUCUCCUAACGGGACCCAGAGGCCGGUGUCCUGCCUGGGGACUGGAGGA